Long non-coding RNA from Piliocolobus tephrosceles (Ugandan red Colobus), 417 nucleotides. RefSeq lists it as uncharacterized. The transcript has 3 exons. NCBI's taxonomy places the organism in Eukaryota, Metazoa, Chordata, Mammalia, Primates, Cercopithecidae. The record is from RefSeq and is a predicted model, not a curated record.
UGUACCCACAGCACAGCCUCAAGCCCUGGCUGUCACAGCAAGUUCCUGAUUCUCCUGCCAUGAAGUUGCUGUGAGAGUGAACAAGGCCGUGGGGCAUCUCCAGGCUGAGUGUGAGACGAUGCUCCCACAGACUUACUCCCUGCAAGCCACACCCUGGGGAGAAACAAAAGGAUGCAAUGCCAAGGUGCCAAAGAGCCUGAAGUCAUGCCAGUGGUGGAGUGCUGAUUGUAACGCAUUGGGUUUGGAUGACAUCCCCACUCAUCUGUAAUGAAAGCUGGAUCAAAGGAAACCUUCCACAGAAGCAAGAACUGACCACCAUCUACAUCAACUGGAACCUUUCUGGAAUCCACACAGUGCAAUGAUCCUUAGAAAAAGCUAACUGGGAUUAAGUUGUUACAAUAAGAAGGCCACCAACAC